UACGGGGGGGGUAAGCGUUGUUCGGAAUUACUGGGCGUAAAGGGCUCGUAGGCGGCCAACUAAGUCAGACGUGAAAUCCCUCAGCUUAACUGGGGAACUGCGUCUGAUACUGGAUGGCUUGGAUUUGGGAGAGGGAUGCGGAAUUCCAGGUGUAGCGGUGAAAUGCGUAGAUAUCUGGAGGAACAUCAGUGGCGAAGGCGAAUCUCUGGCUUAUUUCUGACGCUGAGACGCGAAAGCGUGGGGAGCAAACAGG
Molecule: ribosomal RNA, 253 nt
Filed under: uncultured bacterium
Lineage: Bacteria
Description: partial 16S ribosomal RNA
Rfam family: Bacterial small subunit ribosomal RNA
Source: RNAcentral